Molecule: transfer RNA, 73 nt
Filed under: Maritimibacter sp.
Lineage: Bacteria; Pseudomonadati; Pseudomonadota; Alphaproteobacteria; Rhodobacterales; Roseobacteraceae
Also listed under: 1 other name
Description: tRNA-Glu
Rfam family: tRNA
About the family: Transfer RNA (tRNA) molecules are approximately 80 nucleotides in length. Their secondary structure includes four short double-helical elements and three loops (D, anti-codon, and T loops).
Source: RNAcentral
UCCGCCGUAGUCUAGCUGGUUAGGAUACUUGGCUCUCACCCAAGAGACCCGGGUUCGAGUCCCGGCGGCGGAA